CCUCACAAAAAAAAGAGAAAAGAAAAUUUUGGGCAGAGAUGGUAAUAACGCAGGUCAAAGUUACGUCAACAGACCAAGUGGUGAUUAUCCAUGUCCCCUACCCCACCCCCACCCCCACGAUGGCCAGGAAAGAGGAGGUCAGCUGUCAGGAAAGCACU
Non-coding RNA from Ceratotherium simum simum (southern white rhinoceros), 158 nucleotides. The record is from RefSeq and is a predicted model, not a curated record. NCBI's taxonomy places the organism in Eukaryota, Metazoa, Chordata, Mammalia, Perissodactyla, Rhinocerotidae.